This 856-nucleotide ribosomal RNA is filed under the name uncultured bacterium. RNAcentral describes it as "bacterial SSU rRNA". It matches the Rfam family "Bacterial small subunit ribosomal RNA", at positions 51 to 873 of the family's 1533-position model. The record is from RNAcentral.
CUAAAUGCAGUCGUACGAGAAAGUUGGCUUCGGCUGACCAAGUAAAGUGGCGCACGGGUGAGUAACGCGUGGGUAAUCUACCCUUGAGUCUGGAAUAACGUCUCNAAAGAGGCGCUAAUACGGGAUAAGACCACAGGCCCUUCGGGGCAAGGGGUAAAAGGUGCUUUCGGGCAUCGCUUGGGGAUGAGCCUGCGUGACAUUAGAUUGAUGGUGGGGUAAAGGCCUACCAUAUUGUCUACNAUGUCUAGCUGGUCUGAGAGGAUGAUCAGCCACACUGGGACUGGAACACGGCCCAGACUCCUACGGGAGGCAGCAGUGAGGAAUUUUGCGCAAUGGGGGCAACCCUGACGCAGCAACNCCGCGUGAGUGAUGAAGGCCUUUUGGUUGUAAAGCUCUGUCNCCCGGAAAGAAACUCCGGUGGAGGAAACGCCAUCGGACUGACGGUACCGGGAAAGGAAGGACCGGCUAACUCCGUGCCAGCAGCCGCGGUAAUACGGGGGGUCCAAGCGUUAUUCGGAAUUAUUGGGUGUAAAGCGCAUGUAGGCGGUUGGGUGUGUCAGAUGUGAAAGCCCGGGGCUUAACCCCGGAAGAGCAUUUGAAACUACCUGGCUUGAGUCUCGGAGAGGAAAGUGGAAUUCCCAGUGUAGAGGUGGAAUUCGUAGAUAUUGGGAGGAACACCGGUGGCCNAAAGCCGACUUUCUGGACCAUGACUGACNCUCCANAUGCCGAAAGCCGUGGNUAGGCAAACNNGAUUAGAUACCCUGGUAGUCCCACNCCCGUAAACNAUGAGUACUAGGUGNCCGGGGUAUUGACCCCCCUCNGUGCCCGAAGCUAACNCNUUUAANUACUCCCCCCU